CCGGCUAACUACGUGCCAGCAGCCGCGGUAAUACGUAGGGCGCAAGCGUUAUCCGGAAUUAUUGGGCGUAAAGAGCUCGUAGGCGGUUUGUCGCGUCUGCUGUGAAACCCCGAGGCUCAACCUCGGGCCUGCAGUGGGUACGGGCAGACUAGAGUGCGGUAGAGGAGAUUGGAAUUCCUGGUGUAGCGGUGGAAUGCGCAGAUAUCAGGAGGAACACCGAUGGCGAAGGCAAUCCCCUGGGCCUGCACUGACGCUCAUGCACGAAAGCGUGGGGAGCAAACAGGAUUAGAUACCCUGGUAGUCCACGCCCUAAACGAUGUCAACUGGUUGUUGGGUUUUUAUUAACUCAGUAACGAAGCUAACGCGUGAAGUUGACCGCCUGGGGAGUACGGCCGCAAGGUUAAAACUCAAAUGAAUUGACGGGGGCCCGCACAAGCGGUGGAGCAUGUGGUUUAAUUCGAUGCAACGCGAAGAACCUUACCAAGGCUUGACAUAUACGAGAACGGGCCAGAAAUGGUCAACUCUUUGGACACUCGUAAACAGGUGGUGCAUGGUUGUCGUCAGCUCGUGUCGUGAGAUGUUGGGUUAAGUCCCGCAACGAGCGCAACCCUCGUUCCAUGUUGCCAGCACGUAAUGGUGGGAACUCAUGGAAUACUGCCGGGGUCAACUCGGAGGAAGGUGGGGAUGACGUCAAAUCAUCAUGCCCCUUAUGUCUUGGGCUUCACGCAUGCUACAAUGGCCGGUACAAUGGGCUGCAAUACCGCAAGGUGGAGCGAAUCCCAAAAAGCCGGUCCCAGUUCGGAUUGAGGUCUGCAACUCGACCUCAUGAAGUCGGAGUCGCUAGUAAUCGCAGAUCAGCAACGCUGCGGUGAAUACGUUCCCGGGUCUUGUACACACCGCCCGUCAAGUCAUGAAAGUCGGUAACACCUGAAGCCGGUGGCCCAACCCUUGUGGAGGGAGCCGUCGAAGGUGGGAUCGGUAAUUAGGACUAAGUCGUAACAAGGUAGCCGUACCGGAAGGUGCGGCUGGAUCACCUCCUU
This 1040-nucleotide ribosomal RNA is filed under the name uncultured eukaryote. RNAcentral describes it as "partial Bacterial small subunit ribosomal RNA". It matches the Rfam family "Bacterial small subunit ribosomal RNA", at positions 493 to 1532 of the family's 1533-position model. The record is from RNAcentral.